AGUUGCAGGGUAUAGACCCGAAACCCGGUGAUCUAGCCAUGGGCAGGUUGAAGGUUGGGUAACACUAACUGGAGGACCGAACCGACUAAUGUUGAAAAAUUAGCGGAUGACUUGUGGCUGGGGGUGAAAGGCCAAUCAAACCGGGAGAUAGCUGGUUCUCCCCGAAAGCUAUUUAGGUAGCGCCUCGUGAAUUCAUCUCCGGGGGUAGAGCACUGUUUCGGCAAGGGGGUCAUCCCGACUUACCAACCCGAUGCAAACUGCGAAUACCGGAGAAUGUUAUCACGGGAGACACACGGCGGGUGCUAACGUCCGUCGUGAAGAGGGAAACAACCCAGACCGCCAGCUAAGGUCCCAAAGUCAUGGUUAAGUGGGAAACGAUGUGGGAAGGCCCAGACAGCCAGGAUGUUGGCUUAGAAGCAGCCAUCAUUUAAAGAAAGCGUAAUAGCUCACUGGUCGAGUCGGCCUGCGCGGAAGAUGUAACGGGGCUAAACCAUGCACCGAAGCUGCGGCAGCGACACUAUGUGUUGUUGGGUAGGGGAGCGUUCUGUAAGCCUGUGAAGGUGGCCUGUGAGGGUUGCUGGAGGUAUCAGAAGUGCGAAUGCUGACAUAAGUAACGAUAAA
Molecule: ribosomal RNA, 621 nt
Filed under: Escherichia coli
Lineage: Bacteria; Pseudomonadati; Pseudomonadota; Gammaproteobacteria; Enterobacterales; Enterobacteriaceae
Description: partial 23S ribosomal RNA
Rfam family: Bacterial large subunit ribosomal RNA
Source: RNAcentral